CACCCACCUAGCAUCCCUUUAGCAAAUUGGUGUUGGAAGGAGGUGCUUGUCUUUGGGGUCUGGGCAAAUCCAGUUGGGCUUCUUCCUUCAUAAUUGGCUGCAGGUUCCUGAAACAUGGAGGAGGGUAGGUGAAGAAUUCCAUGGGGAGGGCAGAAAGAAGGUGCCACAGAAUCCUCUUUGUGAUGCAAUAUCUUCACAGGUAAGACACAACUGAAUGAAGUGAACAGAGUUUUCUCUCUUUAUUUGGGGGUAUAGUUUUGUUUAGCGUAUUCUCUUUCUUUCUCCACCUCCCCAAUAGAAGGUUGCUUUGAAGCCUGNGUAGAAAUAUCUCAGUGAACCAUUUUACAUGUUUAUAUUUGAAGCUGUUUCUUUACUGUUGGAUAAACGUUUUGUAAAUUUUGAGCUAGCCUGGACUAUUGAGUUUUAAUAGAGCUUAAGUUUUGUGACAGAAAACUAUUGACUUGGUGUUUCUUCUGCUUUCGUUUGUGCGUCNUUUAGCACCUUGAAAUGAUUCAAUCCGUUUAGGUCCUUUUGAAUGCCACAGUUGACAUUUUAAGAGCCUUUCUUUUUCAUUGGAAAAGAAACUGAGAGAAUUCCUGGUGCCUGUCUGCAGUUCUUUCUUAGAAGAGAAUCUCUGUAUAUCUAUCCUUCCUUUCAAAUUCCGUUGACUAUCCAAGAUGGGGUCAUCUUUUUCAACGANAGGGAAUGGACCGUGCUGGACCCCCUGGAAAGAACCAUAUAACAUAAAGUCAUGUAGGAGAAUUAUGUGAAUGUGGCCUCCCUGGGUAGGGAACCCAUUUUUUUUUUUAUUAAAUUGUUAUAAAGUAUAAAAUUUCAUACUAUUCUAAAAACACCAAGCGAUGCAAUGGCCCUUNCUGCACUUGGC
RNAcentral lists this long non-coding RNA (886 nucleotides) under Salvator merianae (Argentine black and white tegu). Its description in RNAcentral is "lncRNA (ENSSMRG00000010465.1)". Lineage: Eukaryota; Metazoa; Chordata; Lepidosauria; Squamata; Teiidae. The record is from RNAcentral.